CUGACCUGAGCCGGCUCCCUCCGCGCGGCCGCCGCCAUCGACUCUGGGGGCGGAGCGGAGCCGGGAGCGGCGGGAGAGGAGGGGUCCCGGGGACAGCGGUCCCUGUCCCGGCCCUGGCGCGGGUCCCCCGGGCGGCGUCGCCGAGCCUCAGACCCGCCCCGUGCAGCGGAGACAGCGCCUCCUCUCGCGCCUCCUCGUCCCUCCCCUCAGCCCCG
This is a non-coding RNA of Ceratotherium simum simum (southern white rhinoceros), 215 nucleotides long. Lineage: Eukaryota; Metazoa; Chordata; Mammalia; Perissodactyla; Rhinocerotidae. The record is from RefSeq and is a predicted model, not a curated record.